Molecule: ribosomal RNA, 492 nt
Filed under: uncultured bacterium
Lineage: Bacteria
Description: partial 16S ribosomal RNA
Rfam family: Bacterial small subunit ribosomal RNA
Source: RNAcentral
AGUGAACGCUGGCGGUAGGCUUAACACAUGCAAGUCGAACGGCAGCACAGUAAUAGCUUGCUCUUACAGUUGCCGAGUGGCGGAUGGGUGAUGAAUACACCGCAAUCUACUUUUUCGUGGGGGUGAACGACGGGAAAUUUACCCGAAUACCGCAUAUUACUUAUGGGUUAAAUCAGGAGAUUUUCGGACCUUGCGCGAUUUAAUGAGCUGAUGUCGGAUUAGCUAGUUAGCGGGGUAAAGGCCCACCAAGGCGACGAUCGGUAGCUGGUCUGAGAGGAUGAACAGCGACACUGGAACUGAGACACGGUACAGACUCCUACGGGAGGCAGCAGUGGGGAAUAUUGGAAAAUGGGCGCAAGCCUGAUCCAGCCGUACCGCGUGGGUGAAGAAGGCCUUCGGGUUGUAAAGCCCUUUUGUUGGGAAAGAAAAGCAGCAGGUUAAUACCACGCUGUUCUGACGGUACCCAAAGAAUAAGCACCGGCUAACUUCGUG